This 584-nucleotide ribosomal RNA is filed under the name Salmonella enterica subsp. enterica serovar Enteritidis. Its description in RNAcentral is "partial 23S ribosomal RNA". It matches the Rfam family "Bacterial large subunit ribosomal RNA", at positions 2334 to 2912 of the family's 2925-position model. Lineage: Bacteria; Pseudomonadati; Pseudomonadota; Gammaproteobacteria; Enterobacterales; Enterobacteriaceae. The record is from RNAcentral.
GACAUCAGGAGGUUAGUGCAAUGGCAUAAGCCAGCUUGACUGCGAGCGUGACGGCGCGAGCAGGUGCGAAAGCAGGUCAUAGUGAUCCGGUGGUUCUGAAUGGAAGGGCCAUCGCUCAACGGAUAAAAGGUACUCCGGGGAUAACAGGCUGAUACCGCCCAAGAGUUCAUAUCGACGGCGGUGUUUGGCACCUCGAUGUCGGCUCAUCACAUCCUGGGGCUGAAGUAGGUCCCAAGGGUAUGGCUGUUCGCCAUUUAAAGUGGUACGCGAGCUGGGUUUAGAACGUCGUGAGACAGUUCGGUCCCUAUCUGCCGUGGGCGCUGGAGAACUGAGGGGGGCUGCUCCUAGUACGAGAGGACCGGAGUGGACGCAUCACUGGUGUUCGGGUUGUCAUGCCAAUGGCACUGCCCGGUAGCUAAAUGCGGAAGAGAUAAGUGCUGAAAGCAUCUAAGCACGAAACUUGCCCCGAGAUGAGUUCUCCCUGAGACUUAAAGUCUCCUGAAGGAACGUUGAAGACGACGACGUUGAUAGGCCGGGUGUGUAAGCGCAGCGAUGCGUUGAGCUAACCGGUACUAAUGAACCGU